RNAcentral lists this ribosomal RNA (252 nucleotides) under uncultured bacterium. RNAcentral describes it as "partial 16S ribosomal RNA". It matches the Rfam family "Bacterial small subunit ribosomal RNA", at positions 524 to 776 of the family's 1533-position model. The record is from RNAcentral.
GACAGAGGUGCCAAGCGUUAGGCGGAAUCACUGGGCUUAAAGCGUGUGUAGGCGGAUGCCUAAGUACCUUGUGAAAUCCCACGGCUCAACCGUGGAACUGCUUGGUAUACUGGGUGUCUUGAGCCAUCUAGGGGCUACCGGAACAAAUGGUGGAGCGGUGAAAUGCGUAGAUAUCAUUUGGAACGCCAAUGGUGAAAACAGGUAGCUGGGGAUGUGCUGACGCUGAGACACGAAGCCAGGGGAGCAAACGGG